Molecule: ribosomal RNA, 459 nt
Filed under: uncultured Diversispora
Lineage: Eukaryota; Fungi; Glomeromycota; Glomeromycetes; Diversisporales; Diversisporaceae
Description: SSU rRNA
Rfam family: Eukaryotic small subunit ribosomal RNA
Source: RNAcentral
AGCAGCCGCGGUAAUUCCAGCUCCAAUAGCGUAUAUUAAAGUUGUUGCAGUUAAAAAGCUCGUAGUUGAACUUCGGGGUUUACCCAUUGGUCAGGCUUAAUUGUCUGUACUGGUGAGAUGAAUCUCUACCUUCUGAGGAACUUUUAUGCCAUUUAGUUGGUGUGAUAGGAAAUCAGGACUGUUACUUUGAAAAAAUUAGAGUGUUUAAAGCAGGCUAACGUCUGAAUACAUUAGCAUGGAAUAAUGAAAUAGGACGGAUUGGUUCUAUUUCGUUGGUUUCUAGGAUCACCGUAAUGAUUAAUAGGGAUAGUUGGGGGCAUUAGUAUUCAAUUGUCAGAGGUGAAAUUCUUGGAUUUAUUGAAGACUAACUAUUGCGAAAGCAUUUGCCGAGGAUGUUUUCAUUAAUCAAGAACGAAAGUUAGGGGAUCGAAGACGAUCAGAUACCGUCGUAGUCUUAAC